Molecule: ribosomal RNA, 398 nt
Filed under: uncultured bacterium
Lineage: Bacteria
Description: partial 16S ribosomal RNA
Rfam family: Bacterial small subunit ribosomal RNA
Source: RNAcentral
AUACGUAGGGUGCGAGCGUUGUCCGGAAUUACUGGGCGUAAAGAGCUCGUAGGUGGUUUGUCGCGUCGUCUGUGUAAUUCCGGGGCUUAACUCCGGGCGUGCAGGCGAUACGGGCAUAACUUGAGUACUGUAGGGGAGACUGGAAUUCCUGGUGUAGCGGUGAAAUGCGCAGAUAUCAGGAGGAACACCGGUGGCGAAGGCGGGUCUCUGGGCAGUAACGGACGCUGAGGAGCGAAAGCAUGGGUAGCGAACAGGAUUAGAUACCCUGGUAGUCCAUGCCGUAAACGGUGGGCGCUAGGUGUAGGGGUCUUCCACGACUUCUGUGCCGUAGCUAACGCAUUAAGCGCCCCGCCUGGGGAGUACGGCCGCAAGGUUGAAACUCAAAGGAAUUGACGGGG